Molecule: long non-coding RNA, 220 nt
Filed under: Capsicum annuum
Lineage: Eukaryota; Viridiplantae; Streptophyta; Magnoliopsida; Solanales; Solanaceae
Description: long non-coding RNA (CANN_LNC006137)
Source: RNAcentral
CCCAUAAGGGCCAUGCGGACUUGACGUCAUCCCCACCUUCCUCCAGUAUAUCACUGGCAGUCUUUCGUGAGUGCGGCACGCACCUUUUUGUUUGUUUCGGAGCCGUUUGUUUGGGCGGGGCGUACUAAACCCACUACGUACCACACCACCGGGUGGCUCGCCUAAAUGCCGAGUCUUUCUCUGCCGUCAACUCGACGUCGUCGUCACCUGCAAGAUAAGG